RNAcentral lists this ribosomal RNA (387 nucleotides) under uncultured bacterium. RNAcentral describes it as "bacterial SSU rRNA". It matches the Rfam family "Bacterial small subunit ribosomal RNA", at positions 29 to 417 of the family's 1533-position model. The record is from RNAcentral.
AUUGAACGCUGGCGGCAUGCUUUACACAUGCAAGUCGAACGGGGUGGUGGGGCAACCCGCCAUUCAGUGGCGAACGGGUGAGUAAUACAUCGGAACGUGUCCCGUAGUGGGGGAUAACCCGGCGAAAGCCGGACUAAUACCGCAUAUGCUCUACGGAGGAAAGCGGGGGACCUGAAAGGGCCUCGCGCUAUGGGAGCGGCCGAUGUCCGAUUAGCUUGUUGGUGGGGUAAUGGCCUACCAAGGCGACGAUCGGUAGCUGGUCUGAGAGGAUGAUCAGCCACACUGGGACUGAGACACGGCCCAGACUCCUACGGGAGGCAGCAGUGGGGAAUUUUGGACAAUGGGGGCAACCCUGAUCCAGCCAUGCCGCGUGCGGGAAGAAGGCCU